This 492-nucleotide ribosomal RNA is filed under the name uncultured bacterium. RNAcentral describes it as "partial 16S ribosomal RNA". It matches the Rfam family "Bacterial small subunit ribosomal RNA", at positions 29 to 507 of the family's 1533-position model. The record is from RNAcentral.
AGUGAACGCUGGCGGUAGGCCUAACACAUGCAAGUCGAACGGCAGCACAGUAAGAGCUUGCUCUUACGGGUGGCGAGUGGCGGACGGGUGAGGAAUACAUCGGAAUCUACUUUUUCGUGGGGGAUAACGUAGGGAAACUUACGCUAAUACCGCAUACUACCUACGGGUGAAAGCAGGGGAUCUUCGGACUUUGCGCGAUUGAAUGAGCCGAUGUCGGAUUAGCUAGUUGGCGGGGUAAAGGCCCACCAAGGCGACGAUCCGUAGCUGGUCUGAGAGGAUGAUCAGCCACACUGGAACUGAGACACGGUCCAGACUCCUACGGGAGGCAGCAGUGGGGAAUAUUGGACAAUGGGCGCAAGCCUGAUCCAGCCAUGCCGCGUGAGUGAAGAAGGCCUUCGGGUUGUAAAGCCCUUUUGUUGGGAAAGAAAAGCAGCAGGUUAAUCCCCCGCUGUUCUGACGGUACCCAAAGAAUAAGCACCGGCUAACUUCGUG